Molecule: ribosomal RNA, 253 nt
Filed under: uncultured bacterium
Lineage: Bacteria
Description: partial 16S ribosomal RNA
Rfam family: Bacterial small subunit ribosomal RNA
Source: RNAcentral
UACAGAGGGCUCAAGCGUUGUUCGGAAUCAUUGGGCGUAAAGGGCGUGUAGGCGGCGCGGUAAGUCGGGGGUGAAAUUUCGGAGCUUAACUCCGAAACUGCAUUCGAUACUGCGGUGCUUGAGGACUGUAGAGGAGACUGGAAUUCAUGGUGUAGCAGUGAAAUGCGUAGAGAUCAUGAGGAAGACCAGUGGCGAAGGCGGGUCUCUGGACAGUACCUGACACUGAGACGCGACGGCCUGGGGAGCAAACGGG